Molecule: long non-coding RNA, 299 nt
Organism: Rosa chinensis
Lineage: Eukaryota; Viridiplantae; Streptophyta; Magnoliopsida; Rosales; Rosaceae
Exons: 3
Source: RefSeq, a predicted model, not a curated record
UCAAUUCUGGCCGCAAAAUGGUGGACCGGAAAGAGAAGAUAAGGUCUCUUUGAACCUGACGGAGGAGAUUCUCCAAAGCAUGGAAGUAGGGCUGGCUUUCAGGGACUACAAUGGUAGAAUCAGUUCGUUGGAUUUUCUCAAGGCUUUGAGUUAUGUAGUGACUGCUAGUGAUGAUGAGUCUAUUUCCUUAUAUGAUGUCUCCACUGCAGCGUAAGAUGCUUGAAGACCAUUAACAGCAAAAAGUAUGGGGUUGAUUUGGUUUGCUUUACUUCCAUCCUACCACGGUUAUAUACUCGUCG